Molecule: non-coding RNA, 3186 nt
Organism: Myodes glareolus (Bank vole)
Lineage: Eukaryota; Metazoa; Chordata; Mammalia; Rodentia; Cricetidae
Source: RefSeq, a predicted model, not a curated record
ACAGGACAACAGGAUAUCCAAGAGGAACCCCAGUGAGAGCCCAUUGUUGGUGUGUCUGAAGCCAGAAGCCAGAGGCUUCUAGACAGACCAAUGGCUUGUGGCAAUGAACACUUCCAAGAAGAGAUGAACGGACUAAAUGGCAAACCACAGCUUCCAUGAUUUCAACAAAAGUCCAACAGCCCCUGCUCUAUCCAAGAACACGUUGUUUUGCAGCAGCCUUCCUAGUAAGCUAAAGAGGGCAUUGGCUCACAGGGACCUGGAGAUCCAGCUGGAUGGAAGCGUCACCCCAGCCCCAGAAACACAUUCUUAAAGCAUGCCUGCACAGUCCAUAAGUAGAUUCUUGCUGCAAGAGCCAGCCAAUAGAUGACACAGAACAACUGGAAAGAUGCAUCGCUCUCACUGCUUCCCAGACCCCAGGUGUAGAGACCCUGGACCUUCUACUUAUGUGCAUAUAUCUGGUAUGAAUAGAUCUCAUUCAGAUUAUUACUAUUUGGUGACCUUUUCCAGCUGAGCAGUGUUGACCUCAAAGGAAGAUGUAGAGCUGCUGCCUUUAGACGACCCUGGAGAACAGUCCUGACAUGAUUUAACCCUAAGUAAUGACUUAGGUGAACAUUUGUGCUGUCCUUGACUCCGAUACUAUUGACUCCAGAAUAAGUGUCAGCUCUGUGUGGCAGCUACGAGGACAGUAACCCCUCGCCCACCUGCCAGCUCCUGCCAGCCCAGACUCAGAACCCUGAGUUUCUGCGUAUCUUUCUUAGCCCUGGGAAGAAAUGCACAAGACUUCAGACAUGGGACGUAUGACCCAUAUGACAGCCAUACCAUGAUCCUGCCACAGGCGCUCGCAACAGAAAACAGGGCAUGGAGAUCUUCAGUUCUCCCUCCUGAAUGCCAGGAAGGAAAGUGGUCAGAAGCCUUCCCAGUCCAAACUGGAAAAGUUACAAGCAACAGUCUGUACUUUGGCACUGACUAACCUCCAAUUUUCUUUUUCCCCUUGUGCUGAGUCAGUCUCCAAUGGGCCAUCCGUUUUAAGAAUUUAAGUGCAGGAAGAGGGAUGGGUUUAGCAUCCAAGCUUUGACAGCCUGGCACUGUGACCUGCUCGGGGCUGGCUGGGGCACCCAGCCAGCAGUCAUGUCCUUCGAUUCUCACUCUCCUGUUUCAGGGACACCUCAUGCAGACGGGCUGUGCCUGUGCCUGGAGUCCUCUGAGGUCCAGUCACAUCCUGGUGGACUCUCUAGGGUAUGAGCUACCACAGGCAUGUAUCCACUAGCAGAGGAUCUAAGUCCGUACUCUUUUAAUGCCCAGCUAUAUGAGUACUAGCCUGGGUUUCCUUCAGAAGAUUAAAGAGGACGAAAUCAAAUUGCACAUAUCAUUUAAUAAGGAAUGCACACACCAACAUAUUGAGUUCUACAUACAGGCCACUAGGCCCAAGUAUGAAGUUGUUCCUCUUAUGUCAUAACCAUAAUCAUAAGACAAUCCAUGUGUUUAAAUCUUGCUUCAUCUUUCUCCGAAGCACUCUCAAGAGAUUGAUAUGUUUGCCUAUUUCAUACAUAAAGGUUUUUUUUUUGUCAAGAGUCAUGUGGGUUGCCAAGGAAGGUGGCUAUCAGUCCACUUUGUGUGGCUGUCACAAAAUACACAAAGUAGAGAAACAUAAAGAGGUUUAUUUGACUUACAUUAGGGAGACUGGAGGAUCCCAAUAGCACAGUGAAGUACCCUGGCAAAGGUCCUCUAACUUUAUCACAACAUGGGAGAGCAGCAUGUAGCAGAAAAGCUACAUUCAGAAGGACUAGCUGGGGGCAACUUUGAUCUGCAAAUUCACUCUUGUGGUACUUGGUUCACUUCUUCAGGGUGCCAUUACCCUGUCCAUGAAAAUAGAGCUACUACGACCAAAUUAUCUUUCCCUAAGCCCCACCCCUCAAAGGUUUCACCACACUAACACCACCACCCUUGGGGUCAAGCUUUGAGAGGGUGAACUUCCAAGGUACAGUCCACAGCCACAUCAUACAGGGAUGAGACUUGAACUCAGGUGAGCAGACUCCAAAGGCCACCAUUACUACACCAGUAAGCAAGCAGCCAUUGACUUACUGUUCAUCACCAAGACUUGGCAAGCCUCUCCUUUCCAACCUCACACCACGUAUAGGCAUCUCUCAUACUAUUAUAAGUCUGUUAAGGAUCUGGGCAAUACAAGUUCCCUCCACGGCCAGACAAGGUGACUUCCUAUAGGAGCCUAAGAUCCCAAAAGGCAACCAUCUUUGUUCCAGUGGCAAACGUGAAUCAAGUUCUCCCCUCCUCUCCCGGCCUGGGUUAUCCUUAGUCUUUUGCUGGUACAACUUAAUGUCUAAUUUCCAGGCAAAUCUUGAGUGAGCAUUACAAAGCUUCCUUUAAAACAGUGGCUAAAAGAUGAAAACGUUGGUGUGAACCUAAAAUGAAGGCUUCGUAGCUAGAUCUGCUACACUCAAACCCAUUACAUUGAAAUCCUCAUAAAAUUCACACUCUUCAGUCCCCAGAGGUGACAGGUUUAUUCGGGAGGAGAUGAGCAAAACCAUGACUUCAUGGGUCAUGGUGCCAAAAGCUUAGCUCAAUAUUUCUCUAACAUUUUUCUUUCACAACCUCUUCAUAUUCUGAAAAAUUACUAGAGUCCAAGGAACUAUUGUUUAUCUUGAGUUAUAACUAUCAAUAUUUACAGUUUUAGAAAUGAAGGCUUAAAAAUUUAAAAAUAUUUAUACAUUAGUCCAUUAAAAACAAUAAAGAUAAUGCAUGGUAAUACAAAUCUUUUAAGGAAAUAAUUAUAUUUUCCAAAACCAAAAUAUUUAGUCAGAAGAACAUUGCUUUGUGUUUUUACAAAUCUCUUUAAUUUCCAAUUUAACAGAAAACAGCUGGAUUCUCCUGUUUCUGCAUCCAAUUGCUAAUGAUGGCAAAUAUCACGGAGAUCCCUGGGGACCUCGGGGUGAGAGUGAGAUAGGCAAAAGAUAUGAUCAUAGUUUCAAUCCGAUGGGUCCCUCAAAAAGAGGGCCUCAGAGACAUGGGGCUCCUGGACCACCCUUUGGGGACCCCCACCUCAAACAUUCUGAUUUUCUUGUGAUGUAAAAAGUUGCCAGGCACAAUGGUGAUGCGGGAGAAUUGCUACAUAUGGUGCCCACGUGGAUAACAGAAUCCACAGAAAGCCUGUGAAAGUUUGGAAAAGAUAGA